Non-coding RNA from Coffea arabica (coffee), 308 nucleotides. The record is from RefSeq and is a predicted model, not a curated record. NCBI's taxonomy places the organism in Eukaryota, Viridiplantae, Streptophyta, Magnoliopsida, Gentianales, Rubiaceae.
AAGGAACAAACGAAUUGGUGUUUGAGGAUAAGCAUUCAAUUCUACUACCUCCUUGUGUUUCUGUAUUUUGCACUUAAUUCAAUCAAUUACCAGCAAAAAGAAACACUACAGAAUUUCCUUGAGAGGGGUAAAGAGUUCAGAGCUUCAUCACGGCGUUAUGUCCUUUUUUUAGCAUAGGUAAUGUUUUAUUUGGAUUGUUACAAGUUUUUGCAGAGGUCACUUAUUGCCAGCUUGUCAACUGCAAAUUGCUAUAAAUCUGAACAUUUGAAGAGACCAGAAAAUUGUGCCAUGGCCUAAGACUUUGCUUU